This 46-nucleotide non-coding RNA is filed under the name Trichobilharzia regenti. The record is from RNAcentral. Lineage: Eukaryota; Metazoa; Platyhelminthes; Trematoda; Strigeidida; Schistosomatidae.
CUCACAGAUGGUGAGUCCCAAAUAGGACGAAAUGCGCAUCCUGGAU